UACGGGGGGGAGCAAGCGUUGUUCGGAUUACUGGGCGUAAAGGGCGCGUAGGCGGCUCGUGACAAGUCACUUGUGAAAUCUCCGGGCCUUACUCGGAACGGUCAAGUGAUACUGUCGGACUAGAGUACAGAAGGGGCAACUGGAAUUCUCGGUGUAGCGGUGAAAUGCGUAGAUAUCGAGAGGAACACCUGCGGCGAAGGCGG
RNAcentral lists this ribosomal RNA (203 nucleotides) under uncultured bacterium. RNAcentral describes it as "partial 16S ribosomal RNA". It matches the Rfam family "Bacterial small subunit ribosomal RNA", at positions 524 to 724 of the family's 1533-position model. The record is from RNAcentral.